RNAcentral lists this transfer RNA (65 nucleotides) under Dipodomys ordii (Ord's kangaroo rat). It matches the Rfam family "tRNA". From Rfam's summary of the family: Transfer RNA (tRNA) molecules are approximately 80 nucleotides in length. Their secondary structure includes four short double-helical elements and three loops (D, anti-codon, and T loops). The record is from Rfam by way of RNAcentral. Lineage: Eukaryota; Metazoa; Chordata; Mammalia; Rodentia; Heteromyidae.
GGUGGCUUAAUGGUAGAGUGCUUGCCUUGCAUGCAAGAGGCCCUGGGUUCAAUUCCUCAGCACCA